RNAcentral lists this transfer RNA (85 nucleotides) under Clostridiales bacterium. RNAcentral's name for it is "tRNA-Leu". It matches the Rfam family "tRNA". From Rfam's summary of the family: Transfer RNA (tRNA) molecules are approximately 80 nucleotides in length. Their secondary structure includes four short double-helical elements and three loops (D, anti-codon, and T loops). Further hydrogen bonds mediate the characteristic L-shaped molecular structure. tRNAs have two regions of fundamental functional importance: the anti-codon, which is responsible for specific mRNA codon recognition, and the 3' end, to which the tRNAs corresponding amino acid is attached (by aminoacyl-tRNA synthetases). tRNAs cope with the degeneracy of the genetic code in two manners: having more than one tRNA (with a specific anti-codon) for a particular amino acid; and 'wobble' base-pairing, i.e. permitting non-standard base-pairing at the 3rd anti-codon position. The record is from RNAcentral. Lineage: Bacteria; Bacillati; Bacillota; Clostridia; Eubacteriales. RNAcentral also lists the same sequence under 4 other names.
GCGGUCGUGGCGGAACUGGCAGACGCGCAAGACUAAGGAUCUUGUGGUUAACCCCAUGCAGGUUCAAUUCCUGUCGACCGCACCA